Tinamus guttatus (white-throated tinamou) is the source of this 205-nucleotide non-coding RNA. The record is from RefSeq and is a predicted model, not a curated record. NCBI's taxonomy places the organism in Eukaryota, Metazoa, Chordata, Aves, Tinamiformes, Tinamidae.
AGUACAACACCAACCAGCGGGACCUGAACGUGCGGCAGGCCUGGGAGCAGGGCUACACCGGCAAGGGUAUCGUGGUCUCCAUCCUGGAUGAUGGCAUUGAGAAGAACCACCCCGACCUGGAGGGCAACUAUGAUCCCGGGGCCAGCUUUGACGUCAACGACCAAGACCCCGACCCGCAGCCCCGCUACACGCAGAUGAAUGACAA